CACUGAGAAGCUUUGUAUUCAGCAUUAGCCUUUUAAGCUAAAGAAGGAGUAUAAUACUCCCUCAAUGA
RNAcentral lists this transfer RNA (68 nucleotides) under Phrynosoma sherbrookei. Its description in RNAcentral is "tRNA-Lys". It matches the Rfam family "tRNA". From Rfam's summary of the family: Transfer RNA (tRNA) molecules are approximately 80 nucleotides in length. Their secondary structure includes four short double-helical elements and three loops (D, anti-codon, and T loops). The record is from RNAcentral. Lineage: Eukaryota; Metazoa; Chordata; Lepidosauria; Squamata; Phrynosomatidae.